RNAcentral lists this long non-coding RNA (374 nucleotides) under Musa acuminata (dwarf banana). Its description in RNAcentral is "long non-coding RNA (MACU_LNC008453)". The record is from RNAcentral. Lineage: Eukaryota; Viridiplantae; Streptophyta; Magnoliopsida; Zingiberales; Musaceae.
GCUGAAGUUAAUAAGUCUCGUACACAAAGGUAAGGGUUCCUCAAUUCUUGCUGCACUCAAUGCCAUUCUUCCUGCUGUUUGGUUUAAGUCCGUGGGGUAAUAGAAUAGCUUGACCCUCAUUUAAAGAAAAGAAGGUUUACCCAUUUGAUUGAAACGACUCGAAUAGCUUAUGUACACCGCGCUUAAUAAGUUAGGGCAAAUACGGCUUGAACUUCAUCUUUCUAUUAAGUAGAAGGCCUUGACACCUCUUUAAUAAAACCACCUCCUUUUGUUUUGCCCCGAUUCACUCCAGCUAGAAGAUACUGCUCCAUUAUGUGGGCAUGAGAUUAUGGAUUCGCGCUUAUGCAGAGGAUUCCACCUGUUUUCGUAGAGCG